AACGAACGCUGGCGGCAGGCUUAACACAUGCAAGUCGAACGCCCCGCCAGGGGAGUGUCAGACGGGUGAGUAACGCGUGGGAGCAUACACUUUUAUACGCCCUAGCUUGGGGAAAAGGGCAUUAAAACCGUAUUUGCUCCACGGGGGGAAGAUGUAUUGGGGAAGGAUUGGCCAGAGUUGGAUUAGCUAGUUGGGGGGGUAAAGGCCUACCAAGGCGCCGACCCAUAGCUGCUGUGAGAGGAUGAUCAGCCACAUCGGGAGGGAGAAACAGGCCAGACUCCUACGGGAGGGGGCAGUGGCGAAUAUUGGAAAAUGGGCGCAGGCCAGAUCCAGCCAUGCCGCGUGAGUGAUGAAGGCGUUAGAGUUGUAAAGCUCUUUCACCGAUGAAGAUAAUGACGGUAGUCGGAGAAGAAGCCCCGGCUAACUUCGUGCCAGCAGCCGCCGUAA
This 447-nucleotide ribosomal RNA is filed under the name uncultured bacterium. RNAcentral's name for it is "partial 16S ribosomal RNA". It matches the Rfam family "Bacterial small subunit ribosomal RNA", at positions 29 to 523 of the family's 1533-position model. The record is from RNAcentral.